Molecule: ribosomal RNA, 377 nt
Filed under: uncultured bacterium
Lineage: Bacteria
Description: bacterial SSU rRNA
Rfam family: Bacterial small subunit ribosomal RNA
Source: RNAcentral
AUUGAACGCUGGCGGCAUGCCUUACACAUGCAAGUCGAACGGCAGCACGGGGGCAACCCUGGUGGCGAGUGGCGAACGGGUGAGUAAUACAUCGGAAUGUACCCAGUAGUGGGGGAUAACUAGUCGAAAGAUUAGCUAAUACCGCAUACGCACUAUGGUGGAAAGCGGGGGAUCGCAAGACCUCGCGCUAUUGGAGCAGCCGAUGUCCGAUUAGGUAGUUGGUGAGGUAAAGGCUCACCAAGGCGACGAUCUGUAGCGGGUCUGAGAGGGUGACCGGCCACACUGGGACUGAGACAUGGUCCAGACUCCUACGGGAGGCAGCAGUGGGGAAUUUUGGACAAUGGGCGCAAGCCUGAUCCAGCCAUGCCGCGUGCGGG